CAUGCCGCGUGUGUGAAGAAGGCUUUCGGGUUGUAAAGCACUUUAAGUUGUGAGGAAAGGUUAAAGAUUAAUACUCUUUAGCUAUGACGUUAACAACAGAAUAAGCACCGGCUAACUCCGUGCCAGCACCGGCGGUGACUGAGCGGGCUGGCAAGGCGCAUA
RNAcentral lists this ribosomal RNA (162 nucleotides) under uncultured bacterium. Its description in RNAcentral is "partial 16S ribosomal RNA". It matches the Rfam family "Bacterial small subunit ribosomal RNA", at positions 393 to 539 of the family's 1533-position model. The record is from RNAcentral.